CCAAUAGCGUAUAUUAAAGUUGUUGUGGUUAAAAAGCUCGUAGUUGAACCUUGGGCCUGGCUGGCCGGUCCGCCUCACCGCGUGUACUGGUCCGGCCGGGUCUUUCCCUCUGUGGAACUCCAUGCCCUUCACUGGGUGUGGCAGGGAAACAGGACUUUUACUUUGAAAAAAUUAGAGUGCUCCAGGCAGGCCUUUGCUCGAAUACAUUAGCAUGGAAUAAUAAAAUAGGACGUGUGGUUCUAUUUUGUUGGUUUCUAGGACCGCCGUAAUGAUUAAUAGGGACAGUCGGGGGCAUCAGUAUUCAAUAGUCAGAGGUGAAAUUCUUGGAUCUAUUGAAGACUAACUACUGCGAAAGCAUUUGCCAAGGAUGUUUUCAUUAAUCAGGAACGAAAGUUAGGGGAUCGAAGACGAUCAGAUACCGUCGUAGUCUUAACCAUAAACUAUGCCGACUAGGGAUCGGACGAUGUUAUAUUUUGACUCGUUCGGCACCUUACG
Molecule: ribosomal RNA, 495 nt
Filed under: uncultured Glomeromycotina
Lineage: Eukaryota; Fungi; Glomeromycota
Description: partial small subunit ribosomal RNA
Rfam family: Eukaryotic small subunit ribosomal RNA
Source: RNAcentral